GGAGGGUGCAAGCGUUAUCCGGAUUCACUGGGUUUAAAGGGUGCGUAGGCGGGUAAGUAAGUCCGUGGUGAAAUCUCUGAGCUUAACUCAGAAACUGCCGUGGAUACUAUUUGCCUUGAAUAUUGUGGAGGUGAGCGGAAUAUGUCAUGUAGCGGUGAAAUGCUUAGAUAUGACAUAGAACACCAAUUGCGAAGGCAGCUCACUACACAAUCAUUGACGCUGAGGCACGAAAGCGUGGGGAUCAAACAGGAUUAGAUACCCUGGUAGUCCACGCCCUAAACGAUGAUUACUCGACAUCAGCGAUACACUGUUGGUGUCUGAGCGAAAGCAUUAAGUAAUCCACCUGGGAAGUACGAUCGCAAG
Molecule: ribosomal RNA, 363 nt
Filed under: uncultured bacterium
Lineage: Bacteria
Description: bacterial SSU rRNA
Rfam family: Bacterial small subunit ribosomal RNA
Source: RNAcentral